AGAGAGUCAAAAAGACCGCGAAACCGUUAGGAGGGAAACGAAUGCUGCUGAAGUGGCUCCCCGUCAGGCUCAGGAGAGGUCGUUGGGUCCGGCGGCGGUGCGGUUGCUCGCCGCGCUGCCGUCAGGCGCUCGACGACCGAUCUGCACUUCUGCGGGGAGCCGGCCAACGGCAGUCGUUCCCGGCCCAGGAGGGCGUCGUGGGAAGGUGGCCCCGCGUUCGCGUGGGGACCUUACAGCCCGGCGUCUGGCGUUCCGGGACGCGACUGAGGAGAGUUCAUGCGAGACUUUUUCGCACGAGCAGCGCAGGCCGUCCCCCCGGGGGUGGCUGGGCCGCUCUCGCUCGGCGUGCGGCCGCGGCGGUCACUGCGUGCAGUGGGUUUGCCGACGGUCCCGCGCGUCUGGGAGGGAGGCCGGUCGCACCUUGCGCUGCGGUCGUUGGUGUCCGAAUGGCCGCAUCCGACCCGUCU
This 467-nucleotide ribosomal RNA is filed under the name Poecilosclerida sp. 10 JV-2020. RNAcentral describes it as "partial large subunit ribosomal RNA". The record is from RNAcentral. Lineage: Eukaryota; Metazoa; Porifera; Demospongiae; Poecilosclerida.